RNAcentral lists this ribosomal RNA (274 nucleotides) under uncultured bacterium. RNAcentral describes it as "partial 16S ribosomal RNA". It matches the Rfam family "Archaeal small subunit ribosomal RNA", at positions 473 to 747 of the family's 1478-position model. The record is from RNAcentral.
AAACCAGCACCUCAAGUGGUCAGGAUGAUUAUUGGGCCUAAAGCAUCCGUAGCCGGCUCUGUAAGUUUUCGGUUAAAUCUGUACGCUUAACGUACAGGCUGCUGGGAAUACUGCAGGGCUAGGGAGUGGGAGAGGUAGACGGUACUCGGGAGGAAGUGGUAAAAUGCUUUGAUCUCUCGAUGACCACCUGUGGCGAAGGCGGUCUACCAGAACACGUCCGACGGUGAGGGAUGAAAGCUGGGGGAGCAAACCGGAUUAGAAACCCCAGUAGUCC